GACGAACGCUGGCGGCGUGCUUAACACAUGCAAGUCGAACGGGCCUUGUCCCCUUUUUUUUUGGGGGUGGGGUUAGUGGCGAACGCGUGAGUAACACGUGGGUAACCUGCCCCUCACUUCUGGCUAACCGCUUGAAAGGGUGGCUAAUCCGGGGUGUUCUGGCCUGCUCUCAUGGGUGGGUUUGUUAAGUUUCGACCGGUUUGGUUGUCUUGGUGGGGGACGGGCCCGCGGCCGUUUAGGUUGUUGGUGGGGUGAUGGCCUGCAAAGGCUUGGCCGGGUCGCCGGCCUGGGGGCGUGGGCGGUCACACUGGGAAUGAGACACGGCCAAGAUUGGUACGAGAGGCAGCAGUGGCGAAUAUGGCACGAUGCGGGCGAGACUGAUGCAGCGACGGCGCGUGAGGGAUGGAGGCCUUCGGGUUGUGAACCGCUUUCGCCAGUGAAGAAGGUCCUGCUCUUUGUGGUGGGGUUGACGGUAGCUGGGUUAAUGAAGCGCCGGCUAACUAGGU
This 506-nucleotide ribosomal RNA is filed under the name uncultured bacterium. Its description in RNAcentral is "partial 16S ribosomal RNA". It matches the Rfam family "Bacterial small subunit ribosomal RNA", at positions 28 to 506 of the family's 1533-position model. The record is from RNAcentral.